GUGGGGAAUCUUGCGCAAUGGGCGAAAGCCUGACGCAGCCAUGCCGCGUGGAUGAUGAAGGUCUUAGGAUUGUAAAAUCCUUUCACCGGUGAAGAUAAUGACUGUAGCCGGAGAAGAAGCCCCGGCUAACUUCGUGCCAGCAGCCGCGGUAAUACGAAGGGGGCUAGCGUUGCUCGGAUUUACUGGGCGUAAAGGGCGCGUAGGCGGACAGCUUAGUCAGAGGUGAAAGCCCAGGGCUCAACCUUGGAAUUGCCUUUGAUACUGGCUGUCUUGAGUUUGGGGGAGGUGAGUGGAACUCCGAGUGUAGAGGUGAAAUUCGUAGAUAUUCGGAAGAACACCAGUGGCGAAGGCGACUCACUGGCCCAAUACUGACGCUGAGGCGCGAAAGCGUGGGGAGCAAACAGGAUUAGAAACCCGGGUAGUCC
Molecule: ribosomal RNA, 425 nt
Filed under: uncultured bacterium
Lineage: Bacteria
Description: partial 16S ribosomal RNA
Rfam family: Bacterial small subunit ribosomal RNA
Source: RNAcentral